UGCUCUUCUAGCAGGAAUUGAAAAACUUUUUGGACAGAUACUCUUUGAUCCAGAGCUAAUCACUGCUGCAAUUCUACUCCCUACAUACUGGACAAGUGAUGAAUGUGACCUAAAACCUAAGUAAACUUAAGGUUUUGACUAUAUCAAAAGCCACCUGAAACAUCAAAUGGAAGUGCAUAAAAGAAGUGACAAGUCAGCUGGACACCUACCACAACUGCACAAUGGAGUCACCAUUGAUGAGAUUUGGAUGCUGAGUGUUGAUAUCUUCUGCACCUGAUUGACAACUCAUGAGGCAUAUUAUACCUCAAGGUUACCAAAACCGUCCAGAUCCAGCUCCAUUCCAGCUUUUUG
Molecule: long non-coding RNA, 351 nt
Organism: Xyrauchen texanus (razorback sucker)
Lineage: Eukaryota; Metazoa; Chordata; Actinopteri; Cypriniformes; Catostomidae
Exons: 3
Source: RefSeq, a predicted model, not a curated record